UAGCAUAACAAGUUAUGUCAGGAUAACCUUAUGUCAAAACGACAUCAAAAACUUUUAGAUCUGAAAUUUUUCUCUACAGAUUUUAGAUCUAAAUCUUAAUCUCAUGCGACAUGGCUCUGAUACCACUAUUGGAUUUUAUGGUUUCAUGCAUGCAAUUUUUUUUUAAAAUGAGUACGCAGUGAAAAUUUUAAAAACUUAGAUUAAAUCUAAUUUAAUCUAAAUACACAUAAGAUCAAAUCUUAAAACCAUAAAACAAUAUCGACAUAUAUGAGAUAAGAUUCAGAUAUAGAAAUCAAAUAGAGAAAAAUAAAUAGAGAAGAUCCAAUCUUCAUACAUUGGCA
This 341-nucleotide long non-coding RNA is filed under the name Elaeis guineensis (African oil palm). RNAcentral's name for it is "long non-coding RNA (EGUI_LNC054051)". Lineage: Eukaryota; Viridiplantae; Streptophyta; Magnoliopsida; Arecales; Arecaceae. The record is from RNAcentral.